UGUCUUUUAUUGGAUGAAAAUAUACGUCAAUUUUGACGUCACUGCUGCAGCAGACGUGUUGGGUGUUUGGAAAAGGCAAGUGAUCUCCUAACAAUAAUAUUUUGAUUCAUAUUGUUUAAAUAUCAUUUCAUUAUUGUUACAGGUGCGUAUGAACUCUCUAUAUACUCUUAUCACUUGCAUCAUGCAUGUAAUUGUUAAAUCAAUGUAUUUCGUAAACCUAACGUUCGUGAUCUGUAAGUAAGUUUGGAUAAAAUUUGUUUCUGAAUGAAUGUAAACAUUACAUGUUAGGCUAAAGGCAUUACUACUUUUUUAAAACUUGAAUUUGUUUUCGUUUUGUUACGUACUGAUAGGAAAGUGAAAGUAGAAACCUUGUAUGUCAGUUGGCGUUAUGUAUGUUGAGAUCGUUAUCAAGUCCGGAUUCCUUCUUAAACUUAAUGACAAAUGUUUGUUUUUAUGGCCUAUAGAUGCAUUCGGCAACUUGAGUUCAGUGUCACAGUGCUGUUUUUUUCAGUCCAGAGCCCGAAGCUGAUAAGACUGGCGAGUGGUUCUGAAGCUGAUUUGGCAGACGAUUGCAUCAUCACAAUAUUGAAGGUUUAAUAUACAGUCAGCCUCUCAUAAGAUAAAGAACAAAUCCCAAGAUCCAAGGCUUGCUUCAAAGCUAAGAGACCAUUCUGUGCCACAAAGAAAUUGUUCAGGAAAAGGAGAAGAGGUGGAUGUUCAUUUUUGGUACG
Molecule: long non-coding RNA, 731 nt
Organism: Saccostrea cuccullata (small rock oyster)
Lineage: Eukaryota; Metazoa; Mollusca; Bivalvia; Ostreida; Ostreidae
Exons: 3
Source: RefSeq, a predicted model, not a curated record